CUAAGAAUAUUCCGCAAUGGACGAAAGUCUGACGGAGCGACGCCGCGUGGAUGAAGAAGGCCGAAAGGUUGUAAAAUCCUUUUAUUGAUGAAGAAUAAGUGUGGUAGGGAAUGACCGCAUGAUGACAUUAGUCGGUGAAUAAGCCCCGGCUAACUACGUGCCAGCAGCCGCGGUAACACGUAGGGGGCAAGCGUUGUUCGGAAUUAUUGGGCGUAAAGGGCAUGUAGGCGGUUUGGUAAGCCUGAUGUGAAAUCCUGCAGCUUAACUGUAGAAUUGCAUUGGGUACUGCCAGACUUGAAUCACAGAGGGGAAACUAGAAUUUCAGGUGUAGGGGUGGAAUCUGUAGAUAUCUGAAAGAAUACCGGUGGCGAAGGCGGGUUUCUAGCUGAUGAUUGACGCUGAGGUGCGAAAGUGCGGGGAGCAAACAGG
RNAcentral lists this ribosomal RNA (429 nucleotides) under uncultured prokaryote. RNAcentral's name for it is "bacterial SSU rRNA". It matches the Rfam family "Bacterial small subunit ribosomal RNA", at positions 355 to 776 of the family's 1533-position model. RNAcentral also lists the same sequence under 1 other name. The record is from RNAcentral.